Molecule: ribosomal RNA, 407 nt
Filed under: bacterium
Lineage: Bacteria
Description: partial 16S ribosomal RNA
Rfam family: Bacterial small subunit ribosomal RNA
Source: RNAcentral
UCGAGAAUUUUUCACAAUGGGGGAAACCCUGAUGGAGCGACGCCGCAUGGAGGAUGAAGGCGUUUUCGUUGUAAACUCCUGUCAAACGGGAACAAGAAAGUGAUAGUACCGUUAGAGGAAGAGACGGCUAACUCUGUGCCAGCAGCCGCGGUAAUACAGAGGUCUCAAGCGUUGUUCGGAUUCAUUGGGCGUAAAGGGUGCGUAGGUGGCUUGUUAAGUUGAAGGUGAAAUCUCGGGGCUCAACUCCGAAACUGCCUUCAAUACUGGCGAGCUCGAGGACUGUAGAGGAGAAUGGAAUUCACGGUGUAGCAGUGAAAUGCGUAGAUAUCGUGAGGAAGACCAGUGGCGAAGGCGAUUCUCUGGGCAGUUCCUGACACUGAGGCACGAAGGCCAGGGGAGCAAACGGG